GGUAGAGUGGCCGAGUGGUUAUGGCGCUGGUUUUAGGUUUCAACCUCACCAGUGGGAAACCGCGCGAGUUCGAAUCUCGUCUCUAUCA
RNAcentral lists this transfer RNA (88 nucleotides) under Colletotrichum salicis. It matches the Rfam family "tRNA". From Rfam's summary of the family: Transfer RNA (tRNA) molecules are approximately 80 nucleotides in length. Their secondary structure includes four short double-helical elements and three loops (D, anti-codon, and T loops). The record is from Rfam by way of RNAcentral. Lineage: Eukaryota; Fungi; Ascomycota; Sordariomycetes; Glomerellales; Glomerellaceae.